RNAcentral lists this ribosomal RNA (465 nucleotides) under Vreelandella stevensii. RNAcentral describes it as "partial 16S ribosomal RNA". It matches the Rfam family "Bacterial small subunit ribosomal RNA", at positions 338 to 795 of the family's 1533-position model. The record is from RNAcentral. Lineage: Bacteria; Pseudomonadati; Pseudomonadota; Gammaproteobacteria; Oceanospirillales; Halomonadaceae.
CCUACGGGUGGCUGCAGUGGGGAAUAUUGGACAAUGGGCGAAAGCCUGAUCCAGCCAUGCCGCGUGUGUGAAGAAGGCCUUCGGGUUGUAAAGCACUUUCAGUGGGGAAGAAAGCCUUGGGGCUAAUACCCUCGAGGAAGGACAUCACCCACAGAAGAAGCACCGGCUAACUCCGUGCCAGCAGCCGCGGUAAUACGGAGGGUGCGAGCGGUAAUCGGAAUUACUGGGCGUAAAGCGCGCGUAGGCGGUCUGAUAAGCCGGUUGUGAAAGCCCCGGGCUCAACCUGGGAACGGCAUCCGGAACUGUCAGGCUAGAGUGCAGGAGAGGAAGGUAGAAUUCCCGGUGUAGCGGUGAAAUGCGUAGAGAUCGGGAGGAAUACCAGUGGCGAAGGCGGCCUUCUGGACUGACACUGACGCUGAGGUGCGAAAGCGUGGGUAGCAAACAGGAUUAGAUACCCUGGUAGUC